Molecule: long non-coding RNA, 1196 nt
Filed under: Apteryx owenii (little spotted kiwi)
Lineage: Eukaryota; Metazoa; Chordata; Aves; Apterygiformes; Apterygidae
Description: lncRNA (ENSAOWG00000018616.1)
Source: RNAcentral
CGUCAGCAGAGAGUGCGUUUAAGCAUGUUUGAUGUCAUUGUUGACGUUCCUAGGGAGGAGCUGCUUAGGAUACCCUUCAUCAUGCCAGAAAUUCAGAACGUGACUUCACCUUCAAGACCCUGUCCAGGCUAUGGAGGCAGUGACAGUGGGGUUCUUCGUGGGAACACCGUGAGCACCUCUUCUUUCCCCUGCUCCUUGCAACCUCUUCUGACUCUUCGGUCACUGAAGCUGCAGUUUCAAAUAACCAAAGGAAGCUGUGAGGAUCAUGGCAGAGGAGAUGACAGCAGUUGAGCUAAGAGAAGACAGGCACGUUAAAAUCCUGUGUACAUUAAAUGAGAGACAUAGGAUUUGAAAAUGCAAUACAGGAAAUCCUGAGAUGGGUAGCAACCCUAACAACAUCAAAUUGAUAUCUGCAUGGCCAUGCAAGUAUACCAAAACAAUGGCUGUAUUUAAAAGUACAUUGAGAAGUCCUUGGCUCCAAGAGUAUACACAAAUGAUAAAGUGGAAAGCAGAACAAACAGCAUCAUUAUCUUAAUUCUGAAAACUGUAACUCCAGGAGGGUCAUCAGCAUUGUCCUGACAGAGGCUUUUAGCAUCUGGCAUUGGGCUCUGCUGCUGCAAUUUAUUCAAGGGAGUGUGGGCAACCUGUUUUCUCUGUUUCUCUUCUGUAGAAGGAUGUUUAGUUCUCCAUCAUCUAGGCAGGCCCAGUGUGCCUGGAAGCAGGCCUGGCAGUCCAGUCACCAAGGAAGGAGCCCUCCAGUUUGGCCAAAGAGAAGCAUCUGUCAGGUUCUCUCCCCUCUGGCCUUCUCAUUUUCCUCUGGGAAACCUGAGAUGUGUGUAAUGUUUUCUGUUGCCUGUGUCAGCACAUAAAACUGUGCCGCUUUCUCCCCAGUAUAUCUCAGAUUUGAAAUGUCAGUCCUCCAAAAUGCCGUAUUACACACAUUUACUGCUAUAAGAAUUAAAAUUUUAUCCUUCUAAGACUGCUUGUGGAUAAGGGUUAAAAAUAUUGGGCUUUAUGCUCCUCUUUUUUAGUAUUACAAAAAAUUUUGAAAUACUUCUUUUAAGCUUGUUUUUAAUCUCAAAUGUAUGAAGAAUACCAGUUUUAGUCCUGCCUGAUAUUGCUGAAGAACUCUGUAGGGGGAAAAGGUGUGUCUGAGAGCUGCAACGGUGGGCUUUUACACCAUAACUGAAGAGAGG